Molecule: ribosomal RNA, 346 nt
Filed under: uncultured Streptococcus sp.
Lineage: Bacteria; Bacillati; Bacillota; Bacilli; Lactobacillales; Streptococcaceae
Description: bacterial SSU rRNA
Rfam family: Bacterial small subunit ribosomal RNA
Source: RNAcentral
UGACAGGUGGUGCAUGGUGUCGUCAGCUCGUGUCGUGAGAUGUUGGUUAAGUCCCGCACGAGCGCAACCCCUAUUGUUAGUUUGCCAUCAUUCAGUUGGGCACUCUAGCGAGACUGCCGGUAAUAAACCGGAGGAAGUGGGGAUGACGCCAAAUCAUCAUGCCCCUUAUGACCUGGGCUACACACGUGCUACAAUGGUUGGUACAACGAGUUGCGAGUCGGUGACGGCGAGCUAAUCUCUUAAAGCCAAUCUCAGUUCGGAUUGUAGGCUGCAACUCGCCUACAUGAAGUCGGAAUCGCUAGUAAUCGCGGAUCAGCACGCCGCGGUGAAUACGUUCCCGGGCCUU